RNAcentral lists this ribosomal RNA (274 nucleotides) under uncultured bacterium. RNAcentral describes it as "partial 16S ribosomal RNA". It matches the Rfam family "Bacterial small subunit ribosomal RNA", at positions 523 to 796 of the family's 1533-position model. The record is from RNAcentral.
CUACGGAGGGUGCGAGCGUUGUUCGGAAUUAUUGGGCGUAAAGAGCAUGUAGGCGGUCUGUUAAGUCUGGUGUGAAAGCCCGGGGCUCAACCCCGGAAGUGCAUUGGAUACUGGCGGACUUGAGUAUGGGAGAGGAAAGCGGAAUUCCGAGUGUAGGAGUGAAAUCCGUAGAUAUUCGGAGGAACACCAGUGGCGAAGGCGGCUUUCUGGACCAAUACUGACGCUGAGAUGCGAAAGCGUGGGGAGCGAACAGGAUUAGAAACCCCAGUAGUCC